RNAcentral lists this small RNA (141 nucleotides) under Paenibacillus xerothermodurans. RNAcentral's name for it is "Bacillus xerothermodurans c-di-AMP sequence". It matches the Rfam family "c-di-AMP riboswitch aptamer (ydaO/yuaA leader)". From Rfam's summary of the family: This family represents a conserved RNA structure found upstream of the ydaO and yuaA genes in Bacillus subtilis and related genes in other bacteria. The ydaO/yuaA element is thought to act as a genetic "off" switch for the ydaO and yuaA genes in its native state. It is believed that the element may be triggered during osmotic shock leading to activation of ydaO, a predicted amino acid transporter gene, and members of the yuaA-yubG operon which code for KtrA and KtrB K+ transporters. Lineage: Bacteria; Bacillati; Bacillota; Bacilli; Caryophanales; Paenibacillaceae. The record is from Rfam by way of RNAcentral.
AACGGUCAAUCGCUGAAUUUUCUGACGAAAACCGGGGGAACCAGGAUCAUGGGGUGAAUCGGCGUUUCACUGAACGUCGUAGGGCGAAUUCUCACCGCCCGAAUCCGUCAGCUAACCUCGGAAGCGAAGUGGGAAGGAUAG